Molecule: long non-coding RNA, 2799 nt
Organism: Crotalus tigris (Tiger rattlesnake)
Lineage: Eukaryota; Metazoa; Chordata; Lepidosauria; Squamata; Viperidae
Exons: 5
Source: RefSeq, a predicted model, not a curated record
UCUUAAUGGAUUGGAUUUGAGUCUGAUCCUUGUUCUCACAAAGCCAGCUUUCAGGUUAUCCCUCUGAAGCAUUGCUGCUCAGUGCUGAGCGUCUUUGCAAGUCUUUCUCUAAUCUCAUUACUCAAGUGGCCUCACCAGCCAGAAAAACUGAAGUUGGUGGUCACAGCCUUUCCCGACUGUCUGAUCUUCCAAGUUAAAAAAAGAUAACCGUGUACAUUAUAGCCGUUUUUUUAAAAAUGUCCAUACAUUGAAAUUGAUCUGUCUCCGGAAAUACAAAGAGGCACAAAGAAAAAAGAAGGAGGACAUCAAUGAACUACUGGCAAGACAUCAGGACGAGCUGGCAGGAAAAAAUGCCAGAAUCGCAGCCUUGGAAGAAGAAAAUAAAAAACUGGCCAGCAAUAUCGCAAGGGUUGCUCAGGAAAAUAGCAAACUAAAGGAGAAACUUCAGGAAAUUGAAGAAAAUGAGUAUUUUUUUAACCCAUUUUAAUUAUUUUCAUGUAAAAAAUGAAAGUGAUUGAUUGAAGUUUAACUUCACAAGUACUAAUUAUUUUGUUAUUUUUUUUGGCCAGGGCUUGCCCAACCAACUACAGAUGAGACAGAAUCCGUAGAAGAGCGGAAUCUGCAACGGCAGCUGGAAGAAAUGGAGGGGGAAGUCGAAGAGAUGUGCUCCAAGGUAGACCUAUCCAGAACAUUUAACCAACAUAGGCAAAGAUUUUCUUUUGCUGACAUUUCAAAUUCUGAAAAAAAAUCUAUACCAGGGACGCUUCAACACUACAUCUAAAUAAAGGCUUUGGAAUGUAAUUUUCCAGAAAUACCUUUUUUUCUUUCCUCAAAACAAAUAUGAAAGCUCCUUCUAUGAUCGGAGCCAUGAAAGGGGCUUGUGUGGGUAAAUGAAAUUGUGGACUAUGUCAUCAGACAUGUAUAUUUCUAGUAUGGUCACCCAAGGUGAAAAGGCCAUGAUGGAUAACCAAGACAAACACCGAUUGCAUCUGCCCACCCGCACUGGAAUCAGCGUGGCAUAUUAUGAAUCAAGGCAGUCAUAGAAUGGAUACCACUUGAUAAAAAUGUCCACGAAAAACCUAAAACAAGAUGGAUCACUGGCAACAGCAAUUGGCAAAAGAAAACUCAAGACCGUAUUCGCUGAAAACAUGUGGAAGAGGCCUUCAUCCUGCAGUGGAUAGACAAUCGCUAAAAUGACAAUGACAAAUCUGAAAAAAAGACUUUGGCCAAUCAUUGACAUCUGUUGUGUAACCUGACUGGGCAGAGAAGGGGUUACCUUUAUGCCUCUAUGUUAUUGACCGUCUUAAAUCAAGCCAAGCUCAAAAACACUAGAGAAUUCCUGGAAGUAGGUUAUACUCUUCACUCUUACCAAUUGGCCACCAAAAGACAUGUAGACAUAAACAUCUUCCUACUGUGCAAAAGAGACAAUCAAAAAGCCAAAAAGGGAACAAAAAGACCAAAACACCUAAGCAAUCAACACUGAGCAUAACACCAAGAUUAACAUCAGACCAACAAUCAAGAAGUAAAUACCACCCCCCAAUCAAGGAACUGCCAAACAACCCAACAUUAAACAGCCCAACCAAAGAAAAUCGCACAAACAGACUACAAACAUUAGCAUGAUAAAGAAGCAACACAGGUGCAUUGCAAGAUCUGCAAGAAAUACCAUUUGCCUGCAAGCAAUAACUGGGGGACCGUAAAAUAAAGACAUAGAAAACAAAGAGGCUAAAGUGUUCUGGGACGUUAGAAUUCCAACAGACAGGCACCUGCCAAUAACAAGCCAAUUAUCAAUAAGAAAGACAAAAAAGUCUAGACAUUUGAUGGGGCAAUCCCUGGAGACAGUAGAAGAGAAGAGAAAGACAGAAGAAGAUAACAAAAUACAAAGACCUGCAAAUAGAAAUAGAACAACUGGAGAAAAGAAGGCAAAGGUAGUACCAGUAGUAAGAGACACCUUGGGUGCAAUCCCAAAACAAUUGGAGCACCACUUGGACACCACUGGCAUUGCCAAAAUCACGAUUGGUCAGUUGCAAAAGGCAGCUUUGCUCAACAACAGCUGGAAGAAAAGAUGUUUCUCCUUACAAAGAAAUAACAACUGUAUCAAGCCCAACAAAAAGAGAAUAUUUGAAACAAAUAUUCUGGUCCUGCCCUCGGGUGCUUUGAAGAAUAGUUUGACCUCCUCUUCUCUGUGUCAGCCCCUCAAGUAGUGGGAGAGACAGCCUCACAACUACAUGGAUUUGUUACCUUUUAACAUCUUCAUAAAUAAUCUGGAAGUGGGAAUAAAAGGGAACCCAUCACAUUUGGAGACAACACCAAGCUGGGGAGAACAGCCAACAGUUUAGAAGACAGACUCGAGAUACAGAAGGAUCUUGACAGACUUGAACACUGCGCCCUAUCCAACAAAAUGCAAUUCAGUGGUGAGAAAGUAAAGUGUUACAUUUAGAAAGAAAAACCAAAUGAACAAGUAAAGAAUAGGUUGGAGUUGGUUCAACAGCAGUAACUGUGACAGGAAUCUAGAUGUCCUAAUGGACGACCACUUAAGUCUGGUGUGUGCUGCUACUGCCCCAAAAGCCAAUGCAGUCCUAGGCAGCAUUCACAGAGAAAUACGAUUAAGAUCAUGUGAAGUGUUAGUAACACUUUAUACUUCACUAGAAAGAUCACAUUGUUUGGAUCUCCCUGAUUAAAAAAAAUGUUGAGAGUCUAGAAGGAGUUCAGAGAAGAGCAACAAAGAUGAUUAGGAGUCUGGAAGGCUAAGUCAUAUGACGAUCGGUUCAGUGAAUUAGAUACAUCUAGUCUAAAAAAAAA